RNAcentral lists this ribosomal RNA (252 nucleotides) under uncultured bacterium. RNAcentral's name for it is "partial 16S ribosomal RNA". It matches the Rfam family "Bacterial small subunit ribosomal RNA", at positions 524 to 776 of the family's 1533-position model. The record is from RNAcentral.
UACGGAGGAUGCGAGCGUUAUCCGGAUUUAUUGGGCUUAAAGGGUGCGUAGGCGGGCUUUUAAGUCAGCGGUAAAAAUUCGGGGCUCAACCCCGUCCGGCCGUUGAAACUGGGGGUCUUGAGUGGGCGAGAAGAAGGCGGAAUGCGUGGUGUAGCGGUGAAAUGCAUAGAUAUCACGCAGAACCCCGAUUGCGAAGGCAGCCUUCCGGCGCCCUACUGACGCUGAGGCACGAAAGUGCGGGGAUCGAACAGG